CCUACGGGAGGCAGCAGUAGGGAAUCUUCGGCAAUGGACGAAAGUCUGACCGAGCAACGCCGCGUGAGUGAAGAAGGUUUUCGGAUCGUAAAACUCUGUUGUUAGAGAAGAACGUUGCAUAGAGUGGAAAAUUAUGCAAGUGACGGUAUCUAACCAGAAAGGGACGGCUAACUACGUGCCAGCAGCCGCGGUAAU
Molecule: ribosomal RNA, 195 nt
Filed under: uncultured bacterium
Lineage: Bacteria
Description: partial 16S ribosomal RNA
Rfam family: Bacterial small subunit ribosomal RNA
Source: RNAcentral